CGCUCGUAGUCGGAUUUCGGGGCGGGCCGACCGGUCUGCCGAUGGGUAUGCACUGGCCGGCGCGUCCUUCCACCCGGAGACCGCGCCUACUCUUAACUGAGCGGGCGCGGGAGACGGGUCUUUUACUUUGAAAAAAUCAGAGUGUUUCAAGCAGGCAGUCGCUCUUGCAUGGAUUAGCAUGGGAUAAUGAAAUAGGACUCUGGUGCUAUUUUGUUGGUUUCGAACACCGGAGUAAUGAUUAACAGGGACAGUCAGGGGCACUCGUAUUCCGCCGAGAGAGGUGAAAUUCUCAGACCAGCGGAAGACGAACCACUGCGAAAGCAUUUGCCAGGGAUGUUUUCACUGAUCAAGAACGAAAGUUAGGGGAUCGAAGACGAUCAGAUACCGUCGUAGUCUUAACCAUAAACCAUGCCGACUAGGGAUUGGAGGAUGUUCCAUUUGUGACUCCUUCAGCACCUUUCGGGAAACUAAAGUCUUUGGGUUCCGGGGGGAGUAUGGUCGCAAGGCUGAAACUUAAAGGAAUUGACGGAAGGGCACCACCAGGAGUGGAGCCUGCGGCUUAAUUUGACUCAACACGGGGAAACUUACCAGGUCCAGACAUUGUGAGGAUUGACAGAUUGAGAGCUCUUUCUUGAUUCGAUGGGUGGUGGUGCAUGGCCGUUCUUAGUUGGU
Molecule: ribosomal RNA, 672 nt
Filed under: Emiliania huxleyi
Lineage: Eukaryota; Haptophyta; Isochrysidales; Noelaerhabdaceae
Description: SSU rRNA
Rfam family: Eukaryotic small subunit ribosomal RNA
Source: RNAcentral